AAUGUAUCGGAACGUACCAUUGAGUGGGGGAUAACGUAGCGAAAGUUACGCUAAUACCGCAUAUACCCUGAGGGGGAAAGCAGGGGAUCGCAAGACCUUGUGCUCUUUGAGCGGCCGAUAUCAGAUUAGCUAGUUGGUGAGGUAAAGGCUCACCAAGGCGACGAUCUGUAGCGGGUCUGAGAGGAUGAUCCGCCACACUGGGACUGAGACACGGCCCAGACUCCUACGGGAGGCAGCAGUGGGGAAUUUUGGACAAUGGGCGCAAGCCUGAUCCAGCCAUGCCGCGUGAGUGAAGAAGGCCUUCGGGUUGUAAAGCUCUUUCGGCCGGGAAGAAAUCGCACAGGUUAAUACCCUGUGUGGAUGACGGUACCGGAAUAAGAAGCACCGGCUAACUACGUGCCAGCAGCCGCGGUAAUACGUAGGGUGCGAGCGUUAAUCGGAAUUACUGGGCGUAAAGCGUGCGCAGGCGGUUUUGUAAGAUAGGCGUGAAAUCCCCGGGCUCAACCUGGGAACUGCGCUUAUGACUGCAAGGCUAGAGUAUGGCAGAGGGGGGUGGAAUUCCACGUGUAGCAGUGAAAUGCGUAGAGAUGUGGAGGAACACCGAUGGCGAAGGCAGCCCCCUGGGCCAAUACUGACGCUCAUGCACGAAAGCGUGGGUAGCAAACAGGAUUAGAUACCCUGGUACUCCACGCCCUAAACGAUGUCAACUAGGUGUUGGGUGGGUAAAACCAUUUAGUACCGGAGCUAACGCGUGAAGUUGACCGCCUGGGGAGUACGGCCGCAAGGUUAAAACUCAAAGGAAUUGACGGGGACCCGCACAAGCGGUGGAUGAUGUGGAUUAAUUCGAUGCAACGCGAAAAACCUUACCUACCCUUGACAUGUUCAGAAUCCCUGAGAGAUUGGGGAGUGCCCGAAAGGGAGCUGGAACACAGGUGCUGCAUGGCUGUCGUCAGCUCGUGUCGUGAGAUGUUGGGUUAAGUCCCGCAACGAGCGCAACCCUUGUCGUUAAUUGCCAUCAUUUAGUUGGGCACUUUAGCGAGACUGCCGGUGACAAACCGGAGGAAGGUGGGGAUGACGUCAAGUCCUCAUGGCCCUUAUGGGUAGGGCUUCACACGUCAUACAAUGGUCGGUACAAAGGGUUGCCAACCCGCGAGGGGGAGCUAAUCCCAUAAAGCCGAUCGUAGUCCGGAUCGUAGGCUGCAACUCGCCUGCGUGAAGUCGGAAUCGCUAGUAAUCGUGGAUCAGCAUGUCACGGUGAAUACGUUCCCGGGUCUUGUACACACCGCCCGUCACACCAUGGGAGCGGGUUCCGCCAGAAGUAGGUAGCCUAACCGCAAGGGGGGCGCUUACCACGGCGGGGUUCGUGACUGGGAUGAAGUCGUAACAAGGUA
Molecule: ribosomal RNA, 1391 nt
Filed under: metagenome
Description: bacterial SSU rRNA
Rfam family: Bacterial small subunit ribosomal RNA
Source: RNAcentral